UCAGGCCUAACACAUGCAAGUCGAACGGGGAAAGUAGCAAUAUGAGUACUAGUGGCGCACGGGUGAGGAACACGUGGGUAAUGUGCCUUCGAGUGGGGGAUAACUAGUCGAAAGAUUAGCUAAUACCGCAUAAGACCACAGGAUCUGAGGAUCUAGGGGUCAAAGCAGCAAUGCGCUUGAAGAUCAGCCCGCGUAAGAUUAGCUAGUUGGUGAGGUAAUGGCUCACCAAGGCGAUGAUCUUUAGCUGGUCUGAGAGGAUGAUCAGCCACACUGGAACUGAGACACGGUCCAGACUCCUACGGGAGGCAGCAGUAGGGAAUAUUGCGCAAUGGGGGCAACCCUGACGCAGCGACGCCGCGUGAGUGAUAAAGGCCUUCGGGUCGUAAAGCUCUGUUAUAUGGGAAUAAGUUCUGAAUG
Molecule: ribosomal RNA, 417 nt
Filed under: uncultured bacterium
Lineage: Bacteria
Description: bacterial SSU rRNA
Rfam family: Bacterial small subunit ribosomal RNA
Source: RNAcentral